Molecule: transfer RNA, 67 nt
Filed under: Nomada flava
Lineage: Eukaryota; Metazoa; Arthropoda; Insecta; Hymenoptera; Apidae
Description: tRNA-Gln
Source: RNAcentral
UAUAUUUUAGUGUAAUUUGCACUUAAAAUUUUGAAUUUUAAAGAAUUAUUAAAAUUAAUAAAUAUAA